This 256-nucleotide ribosomal RNA is filed under the name uncultured bacterium. Its description in RNAcentral is "partial 16S ribosomal RNA". It matches the Rfam family "Bacterial small subunit ribosomal RNA", at positions 29 to 313 of the family's 1533-position model. The record is from RNAcentral.
AACGAACGCUGGCGGCAGGCCUAAACAUGCAAGUCGAACGCUCUAGCAAUAGAGAGUGGCGCACGGGUGAGUAACAUGUGGGAAUAUGCCUUUUGGUACGGAACAACUUUUGGAAACGAAAGCUAAUACCGUAUGGUCCCUUCGGGGUAAAGAUUUAUCGCCAAAAGAGUAGCCCGCACUGGAUUAGCUAGUUGGUAAGGUAAUGGCUUACCAAGGCGACGAUCCAUAGCUGGUCNGAGAGGACGAUCAGCCACAC